This 806-nucleotide long non-coding RNA is filed under the name Homo sapiens (human). RNAcentral describes it as "HSALNT0331565". The record is from RNAcentral. Lineage: Eukaryota; Metazoa; Chordata; Mammalia; Primates; Hominidae.
AGUAGGGCAGGGACGCUGAUGAGUGCCCGUUCUUGCUUCUCAAGCUCUUAAGGCAACAAUUCCAUUACCAUCGCUAGUUCUCGCUCCAGCACAGGGAGGACGGAAUGGCUCUGCCUGUCAUCAGAUGAGGGGAGUCCACUCAGGGCUGUUAGUCCUUUAGCAAAGGCCACAGAUGGGUGAGCAGCAGAAACGACAUGGGAGCUGAGGCCGGGACCCACAGCCAACGUGCUUUUGCUCCAUCAAUUGAGAUGAUCAGUUUUUCUUUUUUAAAAAAAUCUUUUCAGAAGAUGAAUUACAUUCGUUAAUUUUCAAACGUUGAACCAACCUUUCACUUCUGGGCCUCUGGAAUUGAUGAACUUUCUCUGAGCUGUGACCCAGGUGGAUGGAUGUCAGAAAGCAUAUUCCGCUGGAAGGAAGAGCUGAGCAGUAGUGAAGUCAAGGACAUACAGAGCCAGAGUGUGAACAUGAGUCCUGCUACUUACUGCCUUGCAGUCUUACGGAAGUCACCAACCUCUCUCUAAGCCCUGAUUCCUUCCUCUGCUAAAUGGACGUGGCGGUAAGCUAGCCCACAUGUAUCAUAAGGCUGUUGUGAGGAUUCAACGAGGCACUUCAUGGUGUGCCUCGCACAUGGUAAGUCCCCAGCAAACAGAAUUAGCAGGACCUGACAGAUGGUUUCUGACAAUGUGUUUACCAAUACAGGGUUAACCAGAAUGUAAGUAUUUUGGGUGUUAACAGUAGAAAUAUGAAAAUGUUGAAAUAAAGACACUUAGGGAAAAAUGUCAAGUAAAUUACAACUUACAUUAAAG